Triticum urartu is the source of this 1349-nucleotide non-coding RNA. NCBI's taxonomy places the organism in Eukaryota, Viridiplantae, Streptophyta, Magnoliopsida, Poales, Poaceae. The record is from RefSeq and is a predicted model, not a curated record.
UUUUGACUUUCUGUCCUACCUUAUCUGCAUGCAUUCCAUUCACCCCACCGCUUUCUUCUCUCCUUCUUUAUCUUCUUUUUUCUGGAUGUGUCCGCCGCCGCUUACCGCUCAUGGUGAUCGAGGUGGUUUCCAGAUGACUCCGGUCAAAUCAUCUACCGCCAUAAGCAUCUAUAAAAUCCUCUCCUUUCUCUUCUUCGUGGCCAUCUCAUCUCAACAGAAGUACCAUUGAGGAGUAGCGUCGGCGCAAAACAUCGAGCCGCUCUCGGUUUCUCUCCUAUAGGAUGAAAAGGAGCUCCGUUUGCCGCCUCGCAGAGCAUGCCCCGCCCUUCUAGGCUCCUCCUUUCUUCGACGUGCAGCAUGGAGCAAGCUCGGCCACGGCGAGCUGCGGAGCCGCGCUUCAAGGUUCGGCAUGGUUUCCGGUGGGCUCUACCCACGCUGCACCUCCGAGCCUUGCCGGGGAGGAGCUGCGUCCAGCCUCCGUCGCUGCUACCCUGUCGAGCGAGAAACUGCAUCAUCAUCGCUAUGAUAUGGUGGUUGUCGACGGCCACCGCGGGGACGGCGUGGUGUUGAACGCCCCCCUUGGCACGCUGGCGAGGUGAUUCCAAUCUCGCGCAUCGGAGGCGUUGGUGGCCAAUGGCGACGUCUCGCAGACGUCGCUGGACGCGAUCGCCGAUCUAGAGUCGUCGACGGUGCGCGAGACCGGCCACCUGCUUGGGCUCGGCCACUUCUCGGUGGAGGACGACCUGGACGCCAUCACGUCGCGCAGGCAGAACUGGAGCUGGCCAACAACGACGACGUCAAGAAGCGCGGGAAUAGAAAGUUCUGGUGCUUGCAUCUGCCCAUGGAGGAGGUGCAUGGAGGAAGAUGAAGGUGGACUGGAGGAGGCGGGUGUGCGCGCGGGGUACGGGACGGCGGCAAGAGUGCACAUGAGGUGCGCCCGACUGUGAACAACCCAAGCUUCAAGGACGUCUCACCAGCGACGAGCAAGGAGGAGAGACCCACAACGGCGUCGCUGCCGUGCGCUCCCUGACGUCGACCGGCUUGGUUGGCAUAGCUGCGGCGGCUACGAUCGCACUAGCUAGCGUUGUCCUGAUAGGUUUUCAAUAGACUGACGGCCGCUUCUUCAAAAGAAAGAGCGUUCUUAGUAGCCUGUGAUUUUUCGACUGAUGAUUAUGCUCGGGUUCAGAGAUAUUUUUAUGAAUCACAGGAGUAGGAGUAAGGUGUGCAGGUAAGUGGAGCGGCUUCUCUGUUGCUUUAAAAACAUUCAGUUUUAUGUUAGGGCUUACUUUUUUAUUAAGCGUCUCUGCAAAUGGUGAUCGACCAAGUUGUUACUAUGUUGGAUCUGUUAA